AGCCCUUUUGGCUCUCUGACUAGCAUCAUGGCGGUUGGCAAGAACAAGCGCCUUACGAAAGGCGGCAAAAAGGGAGCCAAGAAGAAAGUGGUUGAUCCAUUUUCUAAGAAAGAUUGGUAUGAUGUGAAAGCACCUGUUAUGUUCAAUAUAAGAAAUAUUGGAAAGACGCUUGUCACCAGGACCCAAGGAACCAAAAUUGCAUCUGAUGGUCUCAAGGAUCGUGUGUUUGAAGUGAGUCUUGCUGAUUCGCAGAAUGAUGAAGUUGCAUUUAGAAAAUUCAAGCUGAUUACUGAAGAUGUUCAGGGUAAAAACUGCCUGACUAACUUCCAUGGCAUGGAUCUUACCCAUGACAAAAUGUGUUCCAUGGUCAAAAAAUGGCAGACAAUGAUUGAAGCUCAUGUUGAUGUCAAGACUACCAAUGGUUACUUGCUUCGUCUGUUCUGUGUUGGUUUUACUAAAAAACAUCUAACAAUCAGAUACGGAAGACCUCUUACACUCAGCACCAACAGGUCCGCCAAAUCCGGAAGAAGAUGAUGGAAAUCAUGACCCUAGAGGUGCAGACAAAUGACUUGAAAGAAGUGGUCAAUAAAUUGAUUCCAGACAGCAUUGGAAAAGACAUAGAAAAGGCUUGCCAAUCUAUUUAUCCUCUCCAUGAUGUCUUUGUUAGAAAAGUAAAAAUGCUGAAGAAGCCCAAGUUUGAAUUGGGAAAGCUCAUGGAGCUUCAUGGUGAAGGCAGUAGUUCUGGAAAAGCCACUGGGGACGAGACAGGUGCUAAAGUUGAAAGAGCUGAUGGAUAUGAACCACCAGUCCAAGAAUCUGUUUAAAGUUCAGACUUCAAAUAGUGGCAAAUAAAAAGUGCUAUUUGUGAUGGUUUGCUUCUGAACAUUCUUUUUUUAAAAAGAAUCUGACGGCUUGGUUCUGGAAAAGCCACUGGGGACGAGACAGGUGCUAAAGUUGAACAAGCUGAUGGAUAUGAACCACCAGUCCAAGAAUCUGUUUAAAGUUCAGACUUCAAAUAGUGGCAAAUAAAAAGUGUUAUUUGU
RNA transcript from Nomascus leucogenys (northern white-cheeked gibbon), 1043 nucleotides. It is a transcript of the gene named 40S ribosomal protein S3a pseudogene, with no coding region annotated. NCBI's taxonomy places the organism in Eukaryota, Metazoa, Chordata, Mammalia, Primates, Hylobatidae. The transcript has a single exon. The record is from RefSeq and is a predicted model, not a curated record.